AAGAGAUCCAUGAAAAUGAGAAUAGAGACUUGGGGACUGAGCAACGUGGCUCUUCUGGAUGCCAGCUUGGGGGCACUGAUGAAUAUUGAUGGCUCAGGAGGCAAAGUCAGUAUGGAUGUCAGAGGAAAGAUACCAUCCCUUCUGCUUUCUCAGUCUGGGUUCCGGAGACAGGCAACCUAAUUAUUCUGAACAAGGCACUGGAGGCACAAAGACAAAAAACCAAAACAGACUCCACUCCUAAUGAGCUUUAUGUUAUCUUUGGAGAAAAGCAAAUCAAUAAAAAAGGCACUGAUAGAUUUA
This is a long non-coding RNA of Trichosurus vulpecula (common brushtail), 300 nucleotides long. RefSeq lists it as uncharacterized. NCBI's taxonomy places the organism in Eukaryota, Metazoa, Chordata, Mammalia, Diprotodontia, Phalangeridae. The transcript has 2 exons. The record is from RefSeq and is a predicted model, not a curated record.